This 490-nucleotide ribosomal RNA is filed under the name uncultured bacterium. RNAcentral's name for it is "partial 16S ribosomal RNA". It matches the Rfam family "Bacterial small subunit ribosomal RNA", at positions 28 to 507 of the family's 1533-position model. The record is from RNAcentral.
GAUGAACGCUAGCUACAGGCUUAACACAUGCCAGUCGAGGGGCAGCAUGGUCUUAGCUUGCUAAGGCCGAUGGCGACCGGCGCACGGGUGAGUAACACGUAUCCAACCUGCCGUCUACUCUUGGACAGCCUUCUGAAAGGAAGAUUAAUACAAGAUGGCAUCAUGAGUUCACAUGUUCACAUGAUUAAAGGUAUUCCGGUAGACGAUGGGGAUGCGUUCCAUUAGAUAGUAGGCGGGGUAACGGCCCACCUAGUCUUCGAUGGAUAGGGGUUCUGAGAGGAAGGUCCCCCACAUUGGAACUGAGACACGGUCCAAACUCCUACGGGAGGCAGCAGUGAGGAAUAUUGGUCAAUGGGCGAGAGCCUGAACCAGCCAAGUAGCGUGAAGGAUGACUGCCCUAUGGGUUGUAAACUUCUUUUAUAAAGGAAUAAAGUCGGGUAUGGAUACCCGUUUGCAUGUACUUUAUGAAUAAGGAUCGGCUAACUCCGUG